AUGGAUUCGCUCCUACCUGGUUUCCCGCCAUCAGAUGUGCCAUCCCACAGGAGGUCGAGAUCAAUGGGACAUCAGAACUUCAUGAGUAUAGAGUUACAACAAAUAGAGGGGAUGACCUCGGAGUUCACACUCCAGCUGUUAGACCAUAUUACAAAUCAUUUUUCUGAGGAGAGCAUAAUUGGCCGUGGUGGGUCUGGAGUAGUUUACAAGGGUGAAUUGGAUAACGGUGAAGAGAUUGCUAUGAAGAAGCUUCAUCAAAUGCCUGGGCUUGACGAGAAGCAAUUUACGAACGAAUUCAACAAUCUUAUGAGAGCGAAACAUAAAAAUAUUAUACGGUUAGUUGGCUACUGCUACUAUCUAGGACAUGAACGUGUAGAGCACAAAGGAAAAUAUGUUUUUGCUCAUGUGCAAGAAAGACUACUCUGUUAUGAAUACUUGCAAGGUGGAAAUCUCGACCAGCAUCUUUUUGAUGAAUUAUGCGGACUUGACUGGCACACACGGUACAAAAUAAUAAAAGGUGUAUGCGAGGGUUUAAAUUUCCUCCAUACAGGAUCAGAAGAUCCUAUCUGCCACUUGGAUUUAAAACCCGCAAACAUACUGCUGGACAAAGAUAUGACACCAAAAAUUGCAGAUUUUGGUUUGUCCAGACUCUUUGCUUCCGCACAGACCCAUAUCACGACACAAAUUAUAGGAACACUUGGAUACAUGCCUCCCGAAUUCAUAGAAAGAGGCAAAAUCACACCAAAAUUUGACAUAUUCAGUUUGGGUGUUAUAAUUAUAAAAAUAAUAGCUGGGCCUGAUGGUUACUCCAAAUUUGCAGAUAUGUCUUCUGAAGAAUUUGAUAAGCUGCUGCACCAAAACUGGGCAAAGAGGUUGCAUGAAACGAUGCCGUCCGGUACAUUGCAGGAAAUGAAGACAUGCAUGGACAUUGCAUCAAGAUGUGUGGAGAGGGAUGAAGAGAAAAGGCCAUGCAUAAGCGAGAUUAUCCAUGAACUGUAUAAGAUUGACAGUGGCAUUAUUAACGAACCAAAUCAGAAUUACAGUGACAUUCUGGAUAAACAAGACAAGCUUGAUGGUCACCUUGUCGAUGAAGUGGAUAAGAUCGGUGGUAACAUUGCGGCCAAGAUUGAGGCGAACAUUAUCAAUGAACAAGAUAAGAAAUCCUUGGAGAGAAUGAGUAGGCUUGUUGUUUCCCCACGUUGCGUGUGGGCAUCAUCGGCGCUGGCCCGUCAGGGCUCGCUGUUGCGGCCAGCCUCCGCGAGCGCGGCGUGCCAUUCGCCGUGCUUGAGCGAGAGGACUGCAUCGCCUCGCUGUGGCAGAAGCGCACCUACGACAGUCUCAAGCUCAACCACCCGAAGCAGUUUUGCAACCUCCCACGCAUGCCAUUCCCGGCUGACUACCCGGAGUACGUCACCCGCCGCCAAUUCAUUGACUACCUCGAGACAUACGCCGCCACGUUCGACAUCACGCCGGAAUUCAACCACACCGUCCAGUCAGCGCGCUUCGACAAGGUUGGUGGCCUGUGGCGCAUUCGGGCACGGGUCGCGGAAACGGAAGAUGCCGCCGAGUUUGAGUACAUUAGCCGCUGGCUGGUUGUGGCCACCGGCGCCAACGCUGAGCCAGUCGUCCCGGACAUCCCGGGCCUAG
Molecule: ribosomal RNA, 1647 nt
Filed under: Triticum aestivum (bread wheat)
Lineage: Eukaryota; Viridiplantae; Streptophyta; Magnoliopsida; Poales; Poaceae
Description: partial small subunit ribosomal RNA
Source: RNAcentral